Molecule: non-coding RNA, 382 nt
Filed under: Aspergillus brasiliensis CBS 101740
Lineage: Eukaryota; Fungi; Ascomycota; Eurotiomycetes; Eurotiales; Aspergillaceae
Description: Eukaryotic large subunit ribosomal RNA
Rfam family: Eukaryotic large subunit ribosomal RNA
Source: Rfam by way of RNAcentral
GAGCCUGUGGCAUAAUAUAAUUCAAUAUGAGAAGAACACCUAAUUUAUAUAUUCAGGCAUUGUGACUGUUUGAUCAGGUAGUGCCGCGACACUACUGUCGACUGGAUAAUGGUUGACUGCCUCUAAGUCAGACUCUAUACUGAAACGUGGUAAUGAUACCUUGUAUUUUUAAAUUGGUUGUGAAUAGGCCUCCCCGCUAUAUGUUUUAGCAAGCUUGUGACAUUUCCUAGAGAGAAGCCUCUGGAAGCUGGCUAGUAGAUUGUAAUAUUAUCCUAUAUGGUGAUCUCUGUAGAUGACUAAAGUAAUUGAAUACAUCAUAUAUACAGUUAAAUAAUCUUAUUGUUAUAAGUUACUGAGUAUUAGCCCGCCCUUGGCUAGAUUU